This is a long non-coding RNA of Haliotis rubra (blacklip abalone), 247 nucleotides long. RefSeq lists it as uncharacterized. The record is from RefSeq and is a predicted model, not a curated record. The transcript has 3 exons. NCBI's taxonomy places the organism in Eukaryota, Metazoa, Mollusca, Gastropoda, Lepetellida, Haliotidae.
CCUGUCUAUACAGGUAAUAGAGCGGCUUAUAGGUAUAGUAACAGAGCUUCCUGUCUUUACAGGUAAUAGAGCGGCUUAUACGUAUAGUAACAGAGCUUCCUGUCUAUACAGGUAAUAGAGCAGCUUAUAGGUAUAGUAACAGAGCUUCCUGUCUAUACAGGUAAUAGAGUGGCUUAUAGGUAUAGUAACAGAGCUUCCUGUCUAUACAGGUAAUAGAGCGGCUUAUAGGUAUAGUAACAGAGCUUCC